RNAcentral lists this long non-coding RNA (733 nucleotides) under Olea europaea subsp. europaea. Lineage: Eukaryota; Viridiplantae; Streptophyta; Magnoliopsida; Lamiales; Oleaceae. The record is from RNAcentral.
CAAAUUUUUACCUUCUUUUUUAUUUCCAGCUCUAAUCUUCACUUUCCCUUUCUUUUCUUUCCCUCAAUUUCAUUUUUUGCACAUCCAACAUAUCAAUGAUCCCUCUCAUCUUCAUACCAUAUAAUCAAUGGUGAUAAAGAAUGAUCGUGACCUUUUCAUUUAUGGAUGUAGCCUGGAGGAGUUAAGUUAUUUUGACAAUUUUAUUUUAUUUUUCUUCUCUAUUUUUUUGAUUUGUUUUUCUUUUCAUCCUCAUUAUUAUUUUAUUUGUAUAUAAUGAUUAGCCUUUCGUACUUCCUCUAUUGUUAGUAAAAAUAUUCUAAUAUGAUUUUGUGAUUUAAUGUUGCUUUGUGAUAUGCCCACCAGAUGCUUGUUGAAAUUUCCAACCGACAAAAGCCUUUUUUUUCUUAACAAAGCUUGACAAGUGAGAAAGAUGGGUUUAAGAAUUUAUUGCUCUCAGAGUGUUUAAGGAGUUCAUUACUUGGUGUCUUUAGAAGGACCCUGGAAAGAGGUAGACCAAUAGGUCGCUGUUGUUCCAUCGUUAUAUCUUUCAAUAUGGUUCUCUGAUCAAUAAUGGUGGCUGGAGCGAUCAGGUGCAUCGGUCUAAAUUUCGAGUAUUUGUUAUAUCUUUCAAUAUGAUUCUAUUUUCAACUUAUUUGGUAUGAUCCAGUUUCAAACAUGGAUAUGUUGCCUACAUCAAUAUUAGUAUUCCAGUCAAUAUUUCAAAUAUGCCCAG